This 203-nucleotide long non-coding RNA is filed under the name Gallus gallus (chicken). The record is from RNAcentral. Lineage: Eukaryota; Metazoa; Chordata; Aves; Galliformes; Phasianidae.
UGGGGAGCUUGGCAAACUCGAUUCUGUAUCCUCUGCAAAAGAAUCCACUCUCUUCUGGCUUUGAAUGGCCUUGUUCAGAACCACAUCACUGUACUCCUGAUACAGCAACCUUGAGGAGUUGAUGAGUUUGGAGUGUCGACGUUUGAAGGUCCCCAUUGUAUCUUCAAGUUUCUUCUCUCGUAAUAUAACUGUUUCUGAACUGA